GCAGGUGUACACAAAUAAGUGCUUGGCUGCUAACUAAAAGGUUGGUGGUUCAAGUCCACCCAGUGGCA
Molecule: transfer RNA, 68 nt
Filed under: Loxodonta africana (African savanna elephant)
Lineage: Eukaryota; Metazoa; Chordata; Mammalia; Proboscidea; Elephantidae
Rfam family: tRNA
About the family: Transfer RNA (tRNA) molecules are approximately 80 nucleotides in length. Their secondary structure includes four short double-helical elements and three loops (D, anti-codon, and T loops).
Source: Rfam by way of RNAcentral